Molecule: long non-coding RNA, 165 nt
Organism: Perognathus longimembris pacificus (Pacific pocket mouse)
Lineage: Eukaryota; Metazoa; Chordata; Mammalia; Rodentia; Heteromyidae
Exons: 5
Source: RefSeq, a predicted model, not a curated record
CUGGGGCAAGAGUUUUAGGUCACUGGUGUACCACUCAUGAAAGAGAUUAAUACAGUUUUCAAGGACCUGGUUAGUUCCUAGAGAGUGGAUUAUUUCAAAGGUGCAAGAUUUGUCUCUGAAUUUCUCUGGAUCUCUGUCUUGAGAAAUGGUCUAUACCACAAACAA